Molecule: long non-coding RNA, 3886 nt
Organism: Macaca mulatta (Rhesus monkey)
Lineage: Eukaryota; Metazoa; Chordata; Mammalia; Primates; Cercopithecidae
Source: RefSeq, a predicted model, not a curated record
GAUGACCAGACGUUCUUGCCUGGAGCUGUCUGGAGAUUGUUACGCCCCUGGGUUCUGGGGAGACCUUUGGGAUGGACCAGGGGCCUCCCCACUCCCUACAGGCAUCGUGUUCUACCCACCAAGAACCUACCGGGCAACGACGACAGGGAGGACACAAUUCCUGGGACAUGGCGCCAACAGUAGGUACAGGCGCUGUCAGGGCAUCUGCAGGAGGCUCCGGGACACUCCCCUCACGGUAUCUGAGCAAUUAAUUAUUUCUUAUCUCGCUGGGUAAGGGGCCCACGUGGAAAUCACUCCCAUCCUUCUGUUCAAAUGUUAUGUUGCUAUUUAUUCUCAACAGGAAAGGAGCACAAAAUAGAACUGCUUUUAGAAUGGAUGCCAGCUGGAGGGUUUUUCCCUAUCAUUUCCGAGUUGUGAGAACAGGGAAGGUGGGGUGGUGUGACCCUUUCUCUGGGGCUGUUGAGGUGGGACAGGCACCCUCAGGAGUGUGCUCUGCUGAGGCACAACCUGGGGAGUAGCUUCCUGCACCCACCUGGGGGAUCUGAGAGCCUAAAAGAGCCAGAGCCCCAGAACCGGCCUGCCUUUGGCAUGGACCCUGGACAGUUCUUUCUUUGCAGGGAACGAGGCCUCCCUCUCCCAUCUCCAGACCAGGAGGGGAACCCUGGAAAGGCAGCAUUGCUAACCCUUGUGGAGAGAGCCCUGACGGAGCAAGAGCCUGUCUCAGAAGACAAACCAACCAACAAACAAAAGCCAACACAGGAGAAGGGGGCAGGAUGCGGGCUUCCUACUUCUCUCUACCCUUAGUCAUAAGAAGCAAUGAAACCCUGAGAAGCUGUCCCAGGUGAAAGGAGACCAAAGGAAGUGACAACUAAAUACAAUGUGGCAACCGGGAUUGGGCCUAGACAAGAAAAAUGACAAUGUAAUGUCCCUUAAGAAAACACUGGUAAAAUCCAAAUAAAAGCUGUAGUUCAAUUAAUAGUAUCGUUCCAAUGUUAAUUUCUUUGCUUUUACAAGUGUACCAUGGUUAUGUAAGACGUUAACAUUAGUGGAAGCUGGGUGAGGGUACAUGGGAACGAACUCUCUGUACUAUCGUUGGAACUUGUCUGUAAUGAUUCCAAAAUAAAAAGUUAAAAAACCCAAAGACAAACAGGGGCCGGGCCUGCCAAGAAGAACUGGGACUCGGACUUGGCACCUGGGCCUUGGGCUCUGCCUGGGAAAAUCCAAGGAGGCCUGGAGCUGGCUCUCAGCUGGCAGGAGGAGCUGCUGCCAACUCUGCAGAGGCGGGCCAGUUCUGGAAAGAUGAGACAGGUGCUGCUCCGUCCAUCCGGACCCUGCACCCCAGGCUGUAAUCACUGGAGGAGUUCUUCUUGCCCACUGCAUGAAUGAAGGUCGUGGAAUUGCAGUAAAGAAAGAAUUUAACAGACCCGAGGCCCACCUCACCAUGUGGGAGACAGAGUUAGUACUGAAAUCAUCUUCAAAGCUUGCAGGAGGUGUCCUUCCGUCCACUGGGGCAGGGAGAUGGAUGGGGGGAUUGUACUUUGACUCGGAGACCACCCAACCCUCAGAAGCCAGGUCUACAAAAUCACCAUCAGCCCUGCUGCAGCCUGCCUCAGGCUGGAUGCCCAGGAAGAUAUAGGGGAUCUGGGGGCACAGAUGGGAGGUGGAAGUGGAGAGACCCAUACCCUGCUCCUCGUGGCUCCUGGCCAAGCUGGUGAUAUGUGACCUCAUCUCACAACACUAGAGACGAGGAGAUCCCGCCCAUCCAGGCUGCAGGCUGGUGGGAAGCCCACAGAGAGAAGGUCUUUCAAAAGGAGGAGGAGUUUGGACCCGAGUGUCCCAGACUGUGGGGGCACAGAUGAAGCGGGGAAGCUACUGCAGAGGAAGGAAGGGCAUGGCAGGUGGGCUGAGGUGGGCACUCGCUGGGAUAUAUGAGCCAGGAGAAUCCCAUUGUGCUACGCGGCCCGAGCAGCUCCUGGGCUGUCUUGCCACUAAGGCAGCGUCAUUACCUCCAAUUCAUAGAUGAUGGAAGCAAGGCCAGAGAGGAUAGAUGAUCCACCCCGGGGCUCAGAGCCAGCAGCCAGAAGAAAUCAGCAUCUCAGCCGAGAAAGGAGAGAGCUCCCUGGAGAAGACACUAAAGGCGGCUGCGACGCUGGCUGGGCCUGACUGUGGGAAGCCUCCGAAGUCAGACCAGGGGGUUCUCGUAGUGGUGUCGACUACACGCCCCACCCCUCUCCUGUCACUGAAAUGGCCGGCUCCUCCAGGGACUCUCCCUUUUGCUUCUAGAUUUGUCUUUGCUUCUGGAGGGACUUGAGGGAGCAGCUGGUACAGAGGCAUGAGCACAGCCCAGGGCUUUCACUCUGGGCUCCAGCACUCCUUAGCUGAGUGGCCCUGACAAGAUCACUUCAGCUCUCUGAUCUUCAGUUUCUUCACUGUAGCAAGAUCUAAUAAUACACUGCAGUUGCUGCAAGGAUUAGAGGUACUUACUGUAUGCAAAGUACUGGACAUGUGAGCAUGCACAGUGGUGAGGAGCUAUUAAUGUUAUGUCAGCUGCCGGCCGCAGCCGCCUCCUCCCCAGCAGUCCUGGCUCCAAGCCCCCCAGUCGCCUCUGAGGGGAUUGCUCCAAACUUUGCUAAUGCUGCAGAAUAAAGGUGAAUUUCCCAGGGAUUUGUGGCAGGCCUCUAUGGUCUGGAAGAUGCCCUAGACAUAAGGAAAUCAAGGGGCUUCCCUAGACAUAAGGAAAUCAAGGGGCUUCCCUGGUCCAGCAUCUUAUACAUUUUACCCAGCCUCUGAGAGAAGCUGGUGGAGACAGCUGGUCCCGCAGCAUUCCCUCUCACAGGAGCUAUUAGCUGUGUCAUGCAUUCAUUUGUAAUGAAAUGGAAGCAUUUUGAUUUAUCAGGGAAGCCGGAUUUUCUCCCAAAUCCUUGCUGCUUUCAUCCUUGGACAUGAAACAGUCCAUUCUAAUCUCAUAUGAAGGGGCAACAGUUACAAGGAACCCAUGAAAUCUGAUCAUCGACUGGGCUCCCAGCGGCAGCUUUGAUCGCUGGGAGGGAGCAAGUCAUCCUCAGCUUGGUGCUAAUAGCUCCAUGCAUUAUUGAAGAGCCAGUUUUCAGUGGCAGACACAAACAGAGAGACAUCCGGAGUGUAGGCUGGAGUGUCAGCUGCUUCCCUCACUCCUCAGUGAUGGAGCCUUGUAAUCCGGCAGGGCCACCAAAAACAGGCCCCUGACAGAGCUGUCUGUGCAGCUCAACACACCCUCAUUGGAAGUCAGCUGACGUGGAACAAGCAAAUAAAGUGAAGCCACCGCUUUCCAGUUCCCUCAGUUGGUGUUCCUCUGAUCCAAACGUCUGAGGCAUGAACAGCUGCCCAGGGAGCAUCCUCAGGAAAUGCACACUCAGUGACAAGGUUGCACGUGGGGCCAGAGCUGACUGCAGCCAGGGCUGUGGCCUGACGGUGUUCCCUUCAUCCUCUGAGUAGGACUCUGAUACUCAGUCUUUGGGGCCAUGAGAGGCAAGGCAAAAGAUGGGACUUAGUUAUUGCUGAGACUUUGCUGGAAAUGGUAAAAGGGGUGGGGAGGCUCACUGUGCCCAUCCUCACUGUUUGAAUUGAAUAAUCUAAUCAAACCAUUUUCAUUUAUCAAAAUUGUUAUUUGAAUGUUUACAGUGUGGUGGGCCCUGAGUGAGGCACUGAAGAUACAGCAGUGAACAAGGACAGAUGGGAUUUGCAGCCUUUGAGAUGGCCAUGGAUGAUCCCUUUCUCAUUGUAUUCAUGCACUUACAUAGCCCCUUUCCACAUCGAAUUAGGUUGACCUUUGUAAUCAAGAGAAUAUUCUGGAAUGAUGAAGUAGUAUGUCUGAAGUGAGGUCAUUAGAGACAUUGUGAGUUCUGGU